RNAcentral lists this ribosomal RNA (554 nucleotides) under uncultured bacterium. Its description in RNAcentral is "partial 16S ribosomal RNA". It matches the Rfam family "Bacterial small subunit ribosomal RNA", at positions 355 to 900 of the family's 1533-position model. The record is from RNAcentral.
UAGGGAAUCUUCCACAAUGGACGCAAGUCUGAUGGAGCAACGCCGCGUGAGUGAAGAAGGUCUUCGGAUCGUAAAGCUCUGUUGUUGGUGAAGAAGGAUAGAGGCAGUAACUGGUCUUUAUUUGGCGGUAAUCAACCAGAAAGUCACGGCUAACUACGUGCCAGCAGCCGCGGUAAUACGUAGGUGGCAAGCGUUGUCCGGAUUUAUUGGGCGUAAAGCGAGCGCAGGCGGAAUGAUAAGUCUGAUGUGAAAGCCCACGGCUCAACCGUGGAACUGCAUCGGAAACUGUCAUUCUUGAGUGCAGAAGAGGAGAGUGGAACUCCAUGUGUAGCGGUGGAAUGCGUAGAUAUAUGGAAGAACACCAGUGGCGAAGGCGGCUCUCUGGUCUGCAACUGACGCUGAGGCUCGAAAGCAUGGGUAGCGAACAGGAUUAGAUACCCUGGUAGUCCAUGCCGUAAACGAUGAGCGCUAGGUGUUGGGGACUUUCCGGUUCUCAGUGCCGCAGCAAACGCAUUAAGCGCUCCGCCUGGGGAGUACGACCGCAAGGUUGAAAC